AGAAGAGAAGCCCAGGGCUGCCCCUCCGGCCAAUCAGAGCGCUCGAGCCCGACCCGCUCUCACCAAUCCACGCUAAGGGGGUGGGACGUUUGGGUUUCCUCUGGGAAACCAUAGAGAAGCCCUGCUGAGAAGGGCUUGAAAGCUGAGCGUGCGAUUACUACGGGGGGUUGUGUUGCUUUUCGGUGGUGAGUUUGCGGUAGCAACGAAGGAAGGAAGGAAGCAAGGAAGGAGCAGGUUCGACUCUGGCUUUGAUAGUACUUUCUUUCCUCCCCGGAUGAAUGAAAGAUGCAUCUCUGUCAUAAAAUCUCUGCAGCAAGAAGAUUCUUUGUAAAAGGAAUUCUCUGGUUUAAAUAUUUUGAAAUCUUUUUCCUUUGCACAUAUGGUACAUGUAAGUGUAGAAAGCAUGAUAUCAAAGUAGGUCAAAAUAUGUUUUGCUGGAUCAUCUUAGAUGGUUUGGAUAAUAUACCAAGCUCAGCUGGUUCAAUAAAGUGGUUUUUGUGAGAAGUUA
Varanus komodoensis (Komodo dragon) is the source of this 508-nucleotide long non-coding RNA. RefSeq lists it as uncharacterized. The record is from RefSeq and is a predicted model, not a curated record. The transcript is spliced from 2 exons. NCBI's taxonomy places the organism in Eukaryota, Metazoa, Chordata, Lepidosauria, Squamata, Varanidae.